This 905-nucleotide unclassified non-coding RNA is filed under the name Hevea brasiliensis (rubber tree). The record is from RNAcentral. Lineage: Eukaryota; Viridiplantae; Streptophyta; Magnoliopsida; Malpighiales; Euphorbiaceae.
AGGGAUCUGAACUGUGUAGAAGAUCUGACCAACUAUCAGCUUUGAAACCUUCUGAAAAGGUGAGCAAGGUCCUGUCUUUUAGCGCAAGGAAUAGAUUUCAUGCUGGGGAUGAUCAUUUAGCUUCUCAGGAGUGUACUGAGUUGUGGAAGUCUCAUAUUAGCUCUUCGUUAUUGCUGAAUAGGGUAUCCCAAGUUGCCUUCUCUAAAAAUGAAACAUUUAGAAACAUUCAGGAUUUAGAGGCUACUGAGAGAGUUUUUAAGAGACGGAGGGUGGUACCAGCUUCCUUAAAGGGACAGGUCAAUGUUGAUGCCAAGUGCAAAGAGAAUAUAAUGGCUGAGAAAAAUGUGCAUGAUCAAUUGAAAGAUGAUGGAUAUUGUGCACUGGAGAAAACCAAAAGAAGUGGUUCCAUUGGCUAUUUCCUUACCAGAAGUACAGAAUCUAGUGAUGCCUGUUCCGUUGGUAGUUGUAGUAUCAAUGAGAAAUUUUCUAACUUAUCUCCGGAAGAAGUCUAUUGUCAAGGAACUGUGCUUUGCAGUGAUGCAGAGUCUUUUCAUGAUUCUGCAGAUAAGGAGGAAAGACACUCUCUUUCUUCACCAGUGAAAAUAGCAGCAAGUAUUCAUAGUUUGGAGUUACAUGCUUAUCGCUGCACUUUAGAGGCAUUGUAUGCGUCCGGUCCCUUAAGUUGGGACCAAGAAUCAUUGUUAACUAAUCUUCGCAUCUCGCUCCAUAUUUCAAAUGAUGAACAUUUAGCAGAGCUGAAGACUUUAAUUUCUGCUGGAACUGGGCAACAGUUGGAUGUAUACAUCCUUUGCCUCCAAAAGUCAAAAGAUGAUGCUUGCAUUUGCAGCACCUCUCCUGGCAUUAUAUGGAGGACUCCUACAACAACUGUCCCACAGAUAAGACAA